This 450-nucleotide ribosomal RNA is filed under the name uncultured organism. Its description in RNAcentral is "partial 16S ribosomal RNA". It matches the Rfam family "Bacterial small subunit ribosomal RNA", at positions 329 to 796 of the family's 1533-position model. The record is from RNAcentral.
ACGUACACUCCUGCGGGAGGCAGCAGUGGGGAAUAUUGGACAAUGGGCGCAAGCCUGAUCCAGCCAUGCCGCGUGAGUGAUGAAGGCCCUAGGGUUGUAAAGCUCUUUCACCGGUGAAGAUAAUGACGGUAACCGGAGAAGAAGCCCCGGCUAACUUCGUGCCAGCAGCCGCGGUAAUACGAAGGGGGCUAGCGUUGUUCGGAUUUACUGGGCGUAAAGCGCACGUAGGCGGACUAUUAAGUCAGGGGUGAAAUCCCGGGGCUCAACCCCGGAACUGCCUUUGAUACUGGUAGUCUUGAGUUCGAGAGAGGUGAGUGGAAUUCCGAGUGUAGAGGUGAAAUUCGUAGAUAUUCGGAGGAACACCAGUGGCGAAGGCGGCUCACUGGCUCGAUACUGACGCUGAGGUGCGAAAGCGUGGGGAGCAAACAGGAUUAGAAACCCGGGUAGUCC